Molecule: ribosomal RNA, 460 nt
Filed under: uncultured bacterium
Lineage: Bacteria
Description: partial 16S ribosomal RNA
Rfam family: Bacterial small subunit ribosomal RNA
Source: RNAcentral
CCUACGGGAGGCAGCAGUGAGGAAUAUUGGUCAAUGGGCGAGAGCCUGAACCAGCCAAGUCGCGUGAAGGAUGACGGCCCUACGGGUUGUAAACUUCUUUUGUCAGGGAGCAAUUGGGUCCACGCGUGGGCUUAGCGAGAGUACCUGAAGAAAAAGCAUCGGCUAACUCCGUGCCAGCAGCCGCGGUAAUACGGGGGAUGCGAGCGUUAUCCGGCUUUAUUGGGUUUAAAGGGUGCGUAGGCGGAAUAUCAAGUCAGCGGUAAAAAUUCGGGGCUCAACCCCGUCGUGCCGUUGAAACUGAUGUGCUUGAGUGCGCGAGAGGUAUGCGGAAUGCGUGGUGUAGCGGUGAAAUGCAUAGAUAUCACGCAGAACUCCGAUUGCGAAGGCAGCAUACCGGCGCCCAACUGACGCUGAAGCACGAAAGCGUGGGUAUCGAACAGGAUUAGAUACCCUAGUAGUC